UACGAAGGGUGCAAGCGUUACUCGGAAUUACUGGGCGUAAAGCGCGCGCAGGCGGUCUUCCAAGUCAGUGGUGAAAGCCCGGAGCUCAACUCCGGAACUGCCAUUGAAACUGUAAGACUUGAGGAUGAGAGAGGUGAGUGGAAUUCCCAGUGUAGAGGUGAAAUUCGUAGAUAUUGGGAAGAACACCGGUGGCGAAGGCGGCUCACUGGCUCAUUACUGACGCUCAGGCGCGACAGCGUGGGGAUCAAACAGG
Molecule: ribosomal RNA, 253 nt
Filed under: uncultured bacterium
Lineage: Bacteria
Description: partial 16S ribosomal RNA
Rfam family: Bacterial small subunit ribosomal RNA
Source: RNAcentral